AGAGUUUGAUCCUGGCUCAGGACGAACGCUGGCGGCGUGCUUAACACAUGCAAGUCGAACGAAAAUACCAAGCUUGCUUGGUUGAUUAGUGGCGAACGGGUGAGUAACACGUGAGUAACCUGCCCCUUACUUUCCUGGAUAACUGCUCGAAAGGGUAGCUAAUACGGGAUAUUCUGACUAGCCUGCAUGGGUUGGUUUGGAAAGGUUUUUUCUGGUAAGGGAUGGGCUCGCGGCCUAUCAGCUUGUUGGUGGGGUGAUGGCCUACCAAGGCUUUGACGGGUAGCCGGCCUGAGAGGGUGGACGGUCACACUGGGACUGAGAUACGGCCCAGACUCCUACGGGAGGCAGCAGUGGGGAAUAUUGCACAAUGGGCGCAAGCCUGAUGCAGCGACGCCGCGUGAGGGAUGAAGGCCUUCGGGUUGUAAACCUCUUUCGUCAGGGAACAAGGCACUGUCUUUUUGGUGGUGUUGAGGGUACCUGGAUAAGAAGCGCCGGCUAACUACGUGCCAGCAGCCGCGGUAAUACGUAGGGCGCAAGCGUUGUCCGGAAUUAUUGGGCGUAAAGAGCUCGUAGGCGGCUGGUCGCGUCUGUCGUGAAAACUUCCGGCUCAACCGGGGGCUUGCGGUGGGUACGGGCCGGCUAGAGUGCGGUAGGGGUAACUGGAACUCCUGGUGUAGCGGUGGAAUGCGCAGAUAUCAGGAAGAACACCGAUGGCGAAGGCAGGUUACUGGGCCGUUACUGACGCUGAGGAGCGAAAGCGUGGGGAGCGAACAGGAUUAGAUACCCUGGUAGUCCACGCUGUAAACGUUGGGCACUAGGUGUGAGGCUCCUUUCCGGGGGUUUUGCGCCGUAGCUAACGCAUUAAGUGCCCCGCCUGGGGAGUACGGCCGCAAGGCUAAAACUCAAAGGAAUUGACGGGGGCCCGCACAAGCGGCGGAGCAUGCGGAUUAAUUCGAU
Molecule: ribosomal RNA, 957 nt
Filed under: human oral metagenome
Description: bacterial SSU rRNA
Rfam family: Bacterial small subunit ribosomal RNA
Source: RNAcentral